AGUGAACGCUGGCGGUAGGCCUAACACAUGCAAGUCGAACGGCAGCACAGUAAGAGCUUGCUCUUACGGGUGGCGAGUGGCGGACGGGUGAGGAAUACAUCGGAAUCUACUUUUUCGUGGGGGAUAACGUAGGGAAACUUACGCUAAUACCGCAUACGACCUACGGGUGAAAGCAGGGGAUCUUCGGACCUUGCGCGAUUGAAUGAGCCGAUGUCGGAUUAGCUAGUUGGCGGGGUAAAGGCCCACCAAGGCGACGAUCCGUAGCUGGUCUGAGAGGAUGAUCAGCCACACUGGAACUGAGAAACGGUCCAGACUCCUACGGUAGGCAGCAGUGGGGAAUAUUGGACGAUGGGCGCAAGCCUGAUCCAGCCAUACCGCGUGGGUGAAGAAGGCCUUCGGGUUGUAAAGCCCUGUUGUUGGGAAAGAAAAGCAGCAGGUUAAUACCCCGCUGUUCUGACGGUACCCAAAGAAUAAGCACCGGCUAACUUCGUG
This 492-nucleotide ribosomal RNA is filed under the name uncultured bacterium. RNAcentral describes it as "partial 16S ribosomal RNA". It matches the Rfam family "Bacterial small subunit ribosomal RNA", at positions 29 to 507 of the family's 1533-position model. The record is from RNAcentral.